This is a long non-coding RNA of Aethina tumida (small hive beetle), 564 nucleotides long. RefSeq lists it as uncharacterized. The transcript has 2 exons. The record is from RefSeq and is a predicted model, not a curated record. NCBI's taxonomy places the organism in Eukaryota, Metazoa, Arthropoda, Insecta, Coleoptera, Nitidulidae.
UCACGCGAGAGAGACGGCACGAUUUCUUCCCCCAGCCGCAGGAAAAUUACGUAAAACGUGCCGCCAUUCGCGGAGAUGCGGUCACGAGUAGCCAAUCAUGUGACCGCGGGUCACGAGUUAUGAGUCACACAUUACGAAGCUGUUUUUCCUGCGGGGCUCCGGCGGAUUGGUUCGGACGCCGGCUAUGGUUCGACGGUGUGAUACAAACAAAUUAUAAUGUCAUUUGUGAUGAUGUAACGGUGUAAUUGUGUCGAUUUUCAACGCACAAUUACCACAGUGAAAUUGUUUAUUCCAGGAAUUUUUUUUAUUGUCCUGUAUCAUAAGUGCAGAAGUUCGAAUAACUUUGAAAAUAAUAUAGAAGAGUCCAGAAGGGUUGGCAACAAUUCGGGUUUCCCCGAAUAUGUGCUAGUUUCACAUAUUAAUUAAUUCAGAAAUUAACUUAAUAUCUAAUAUAUGUACAAAAAAUGUCAUAGUAACAAAAAUUAAAAAAAAAACUAAUGUUAUAAUAUUUGUAUUUGAGGUAUGUAGUAGUCAAUUUCAUAUUAAUAUAUGUACAAAAAUUAA